Molecule: ribosomal RNA, 253 nt
Filed under: uncultured bacterium
Lineage: Bacteria
Description: partial 16S ribosomal RNA
Rfam family: Bacterial small subunit ribosomal RNA
Source: RNAcentral
AACGUAGGUACCGAGCGUUAUCCGGAUUUACUGGGCGUAAAGCGCGUGUAGGCGGUCCGGUAAGUCCGCUGUGAAAGUCGGGGGCUCAACCCUCGGAUGCCGGUGGAUACUGUCGGGCUUGAGUACGGAAGAGGCGAGUGGAAUUCCUGGUGUAGCGGUGAAAUGCGCAGAUAUCAGGAGGAACACCAAUUGCGAAGGCAGCUCGCUGGGACGUUACUGACGCUGAGACGCGAAAGCGUGGGGAGCAAACAGG